CCUACGGGAGGCUGCAGUAGGGAAUAUUGCUCAAUGGGGGAAACCCUGAAGCAGCAACGCCGCGUGGAGGAUGACGGUUUUCGGAUUGUAAACUCCUUUUGUUAGAGAAGAUAAUGACGGUAUCUAACGAAUAAGCACCGGCUAAAUCCGUGCCAGCAGCCGCGGGAAUACGGCGGGUGCAAGCGUUACUCGGAAUCACUGGGCGUAAAGAGCGCGUAGGCGGGGUAGCAAGUCAGAUGUGAAAUCCUAUGGCUUAACCAUAGAACUGCAUUUGAAACUGUUAUUCUAGAGUAUAGGAGAGGUAGGUGGAAUUCUUGGUGUAGCGGUAAAAUCCGUAGAGAGCAAGAGGAAUACUCAUUGCGAAGGCGACCUGCUAGAACAUAACUGACGCUGAUGCGCGAAAGCGUGGGGAGCAAACAGGAUUAGAUACCCCGGUAGUC
This 440-nucleotide ribosomal RNA is filed under the name uncultured bacterium. RNAcentral describes it as "partial 16S ribosomal RNA". It matches the Rfam family "Bacterial small subunit ribosomal RNA", at positions 338 to 795 of the family's 1533-position model. The record is from RNAcentral.